CCAAAACCUAGCCAACGACCAAGAGUGAAUCAAGGUAGCAGGGGGUUGUGACAACACAAGAUGAAGAACAGUAUUGGGCUUCAGCAGAUUGAGGAUCCGUCAAGGAUGAGCAAGAGGCUCCUGGGGUUCGGAUGACGUCGCAGACUUGCAGAGCAACACAAAUCCAAGACUAAAGCCUGGGGGGAUUGAAGGAAACCUUUUUCUUUAGCAAUACUUGGUGAAAUGAACAAUUAUGAACAGCUUACAUUUUAAACAUGAAGGAUGAUGGGUGAGGAUCGUUACAAAAUGAGGUCGGUCAGUAAGGUAAAUUUUCCACCUAAAUAAUAAAUUGCAGUAUUGUUACAUAUUGUUAGUGCCGUUUCAUCCAAACCCCACCUUGAUCUGUCCCCUGGUAUAUUGCUGUGGAGCACACACUCGCAGCAGCCAUUGUUAAUGCAUCACAAAAACAUGGAGUAACACAAAUUGUAGAAUGCCUAAAGCUUUCUCCGAGCUUUCCCAAAUUCAGUAUUUUUUUUACUUUUGAGUCUGCCAGGAUAAGCCUAAAAAAAAAAAACGGACAUUCGCAAAACUGCUUACAAAGGCAACACAAAGAUACAGGUCGUAGCGUUUUCCCCUCGCCGAUCCGUUCAUUUAUUUCGCUCAAAGGGUUUCACAGGGAAUACACAAAGUGCACCAAGAAGAAUCGAGUUCAAAGUCAAACUUUUUGGGAACACCAACCUCUCAAUGAACUACUUCAAAACUUCUCUACAGAGUGUUAACAAGCUGCAGUGAUCUACUUUUCAAUCUGAUUAUCUUUGGGUUCUGGCAGAACUGGGUUGAGAGCACAUCUCCACUUAGGGACCUAACCUGGAUCCAAUUAAAAGUCCUACGAGACGAUUUCAGAGACCUCUAGUGCAACGCCAGGCGUUCCCCAGCCUUAUGCUCUACCACUAUUAAUAACAUCUGUCAAUGACCCGUCCCCAACCUAAAUUUACAACCACGAUGGCACCAUUAAGAAGUUUGAAAUAUCUUGGUUGCACUCAAACUGGAAUGGUAGAAAAUGGUUUCUAAAAUGUUGGUUAUAUGUAUUUAUUUAUAUAAAAUGGGGUUUUAUUUUAACGUUAUCAAUGUGAAGUUUGUCAACAUUUGUUUAUUCUUUGAAUUUAUUUUGUUUAGUCAACACUUAUUUUCUUUUUCGCUGCUCUUGGCGGUGGUUACCGUAGCAACCUGUAACUGCCACUUUUUCAGGUGUCUGUAACUGUGCGGAUGAAUGGUGACAUAAAAGGCGGAGCGAUAAUGGAAGCAGUGGGUCAGCGGCCGCAUCGCCGCGAUGCGGGACGAGCGCAGAUGAAACAGCUGUGGCUGUAACUCAGCGGGCCGAGCCUGACGCCAGCACAGCCGGCGGGACGAGUCUGAUUCCCAAGGAGACCGUGAAUGCUAAAAGUGUCGACACAUGUCAAAGGCUCAUCAUUUAUUUAUGACUUAACCGGACAGAUGUAAAAGUCAGUCGUUUCUGCAGUCAGGAAAUAGGUUAGAGAAACUUUUCAAUGGGUAAAAAAAUGUUUAGUUCAAUGCUAUUGUUCCUGUGGUAACGAUGUCGUAUUCGCCAUAUGGAUUUUGGGCUGCGAGCCGCCGCUCUGAAGGACAAAUCCCUCUUUAGAUGCUCAAACUGUUCUCAAUAUGCCAGCUGCGCACUGUGAUUAAGUGCUGUAUUUUUUGGAGCACCUAUUUUUCCCACAAUCUGUCUCCUUAUCAGGUAGCAAUUCCUUUUAGCUCUGAUCCCAGAAUGCAUUUCAUUAACUUCUUAAUUAAUUGAAUGAAACCGUUUUGUUGUAUUUUAUAGGAAAAGCAUCUACUAUGAAAAAAAAAAAAAGAUAGCAUUUUAUGAAGCUAUACAUCAACAUGUGUAAUUAAUGCCACUGUGGACACGGAUUUGCAUUCAUCCGUCCCAUGUGGGAUUUUCUAAUUUUUCUUUUUGCAUAAAAAGAAAAUAAUAUCUUUAUGACGGCACAGAAAAAAAUGCACUGAUUCAAUUACAAAUAUUUAUUUUAGCUGUGUUUUUAGGGCUUAGUGUAGUAUUUUGUAGCAAGAACCUUUUUUUAAAAAAAAAACAAAAAAAAAAAAUAUUAAAAAGAACAUACUAUUAAAUAUAAAUGUAUGUGUCCUGGUGCUUUUGUUCCUAUAAAGCAAAACAUUACAUAAAACUUUAGACAACGAUGCGUUAACAUUAACUGAAUCCUGUUAAAAUACACAAAACAUUUGCCCUGCUGUCACUGCCACAAUAUGUGUAAGG
Molecule: long non-coding RNA, 2272 nt
Organism: Poecilia latipinna (sailfin molly)
Lineage: Eukaryota; Metazoa; Chordata; Actinopteri; Cyprinodontiformes; Poeciliidae
Exons: 2
Source: RefSeq, a predicted model, not a curated record